AUACGUAGGUGGCAAGCGUUGUCCGGAUUUAUUGGGUUUAAAGGGUGCGUAGGUCGGCCCUGUAAGUCAGUGGUGAAAUAUCGCAGCUCAACUGUGAGGGUGCCAUUGAUACUGCAGGGCUUGAGUGGAGUCGGGGUGGCCGGAAUUUACGGUGUAGCGGUGAAAUGCAUAGAUACCGUAAAGAACACCGAUAGCGAAGGCAGGCCACUGGGCUCCAACUGACGCUGAGGCACGAAAGCGUGGGGAUC
Molecule: ribosomal RNA, 248 nt
Filed under: uncultured bacterium
Lineage: Bacteria
Description: partial 16S ribosomal RNA
Rfam family: Bacterial small subunit ribosomal RNA
Source: RNAcentral